This 301-nucleotide ribosomal RNA is filed under the name uncultured bacterium. Its description in RNAcentral is "partial 16S ribosomal RNA". It matches the Rfam family "Bacterial small subunit ribosomal RNA", at positions 509 to 807 of the family's 1533-position model. The record is from RNAcentral.
CAGUCGCCGCGGGAACACGUAGGGUGCAAGCGUUAAUCGGAAUUACUGGGCGUAAAGCGUGCGCAGGCGGUUCGUUAAGACAGAUGUGAAAUCCCCGGGCUUAACCUGGGAACUGCAUUUGUGACUGGCGGGCUAGAGUAUGGCAGAGGGGGGUAGAAUUCCACGUGUAGCAGUGAAAUGCGUAGAGAUGUGGAGGAAUACCGAUGGCGAAGGCAGCCCCCUGGGCCAAUACUGACGCUCAUGCACGAAAGCGUGGGGAGCAAACAGGAUUAGAUACCCCCGUAGUCCCUGUCUCUUAUAC